UACGUAGGGUGCAAGCGUUGUCCGGAAUUAUUGGGCGUAAAGGGCUCGUAGGCGGUCUGUCGCGUCGGGAGUGAAAACUCAGGGCUUAACCCUGAGCCUGCUUCCGAUACGGGCAGACUAGAGGUAUGCAGGGGAGAACGGAAUUCCUGGUGUAGCGGUGAAAUGCGCAGAUAUCAGGAGGAACACCGGUGGCGAAGGCGGGUCUCUGGGCAGUAACUGACGCUGAGGAGCGAAAGCGUGGGGAGCGAACAGG
RNAcentral lists this ribosomal RNA (253 nucleotides) under uncultured bacterium. RNAcentral describes it as "partial 16S ribosomal RNA". It matches the Rfam family "Bacterial small subunit ribosomal RNA", at positions 524 to 776 of the family's 1533-position model. The record is from RNAcentral.